CUGGUGUUCCGCAGGGCUCGGUACUGGGUCCUCUUCUCUUCUCGAUCUACACCUCCUCUCUCGGCCCGGUCAUAGUCUCCCAUGGAUUCAAAUACCACUGCUGUGCUGAUGAUACCCAGCUCUUCCUCUCCUUUCCACCUGGAGCAUCAGACAUUUCUACUUGGAUGUCUGAUCACCACCUCCGACUCAACCUCUGCAAAACAGAAAUUCUUCACCUCCCAGAUGGCCUGUCCUCCUGUCACGAUCUAUCGAUCAAACUGGACAACUCACUCAUUUUGCCUACCUCCUCGGCUAAGAGUCUGGGAGUGAUGAUUGAUUCAAGUCUAUCUUUCUCUCACCACACUGAAGCUACAACCUGGACCUGCAGAUACAUCCUGCAUAAUAUUCGCAGGAUCUGUCCCUACCUCAAAACUGAAUCUGCCCAACUGCUUGUCCAGGCCAUAGUGACAUCCUGUCUGGACUACUGCAACUCUCUCCUGUGUGUUCUUCCCACUUCUGCCAUCAAACCUCUGCAGCUGAUACAGAAUGCUGCUGCACGAGUUGUGUUUGAUUUCCCAAAGUGUUCCCAUGUAUUCCCUCUACUCAUUUCUCUGCACUGGCUUCCUAUAGCUGCCUGGAUCAAAUUAAAGACCCUGGUAAUUGUUUACAAAUGCAUCAAUAGAACUGCUCCUAGCUAUUUACAAGACUUGAUCGACCACUACACCCCAACCAGACUGCUUCACUCGUCUACUUCUGCUCGCUUGGUGGUUUCAUGCAUGAAAGGUAAAGUGCGGAGGUUCUCACUUCUGUCUUCGUUGUGGUGGAAUGACCUCCCUCUCUCACUCGGAACUGCUGAAACUCUGUCUACAUUCAGGAAGGGUCUGAAAACUCACCUUUUCCAGACUCACUUGGCCCAUGAUCUCUUAAGCUGAUGUAUGGUGUAAAUAUUCCUGCACCUUGGCUUUAAGAUCAUCCCCAGAUAAGCCUUUACACAGCCACUACUCCAGCAUUGUAUGUAAAUGUUUG
This 1005-nucleotide long non-coding RNA is filed under the name Scleropages formosus (Asian bonytongue). Its description in RNAcentral is "lncRNA (ENSSFOG00015026907.1)". Lineage: Eukaryota; Metazoa; Chordata; Actinopteri; Osteoglossiformes; Osteoglossidae. The record is from RNAcentral.